GCCGGGAUGGUCGAAUGUAAUCGGUUAAGCCUUCGCCCCGGAUGGGCGAAGGUUGCGGGUUCGAUACCCCCUCCUGGCC
Molecule: transfer RNA, 79 nt
Filed under: Ixodes scapularis (black-legged tick)
Lineage: Eukaryota; Metazoa; Arthropoda; Arachnida; Ixodida; Ixodidae
Description: tRNA-Ser
Source: RNAcentral